UUCGCAAUGCCCGAAAGGGUGAUGGAGCGACGCCGCGUGAGUGAAGAAGUCCUUCGGGACGUAAAGCUCUUUUAUCAGGGACGAACAAAUGACGGUACCUGAUGAAUAAGCCACUGCUAACCUCGUGCCAGCAGCAGCGGUAAUACAGAGGCGGCAAGCGUUGUUCGGAAUUAUUGGGCGUAAAGAGCACGUAGGCGGCUCUGCAAGUCAGUUGUGAAAGCCUUCCGCUCAAAGGAAGAACAGCAUCUGAUACUACAGGGCUUGAGUGCGGGAGGGGAGAGUGGAACUUCUGGUGGAGCGGUGAAAUGCGUAGAUAUCAGAAGGAACGCCGGCGGCGAAAGCGACUCUCUGGUCCGUAACUGACGCUGAGUGUGCGAAAGCUAGGGGAGCAAACGGGAUUAGAUACCCCGGUAGUCCUAGCCGUAAACGAUGGGCACUAAGUAGAGGGGUU
RNAcentral lists this ribosomal RNA (451 nucleotides) under uncultured anaerobic ammonium-oxidizing bacterium. RNAcentral's name for it is "bacterial SSU rRNA". It matches the Rfam family "Bacterial small subunit ribosomal RNA", at positions 365 to 830 of the family's 1533-position model. The record is from RNAcentral.